AUACUUACCUGGAUGGGGUCAAUGGGUAACCAUGAAGGCCUAUGGCCUAGAAUAGUGACCUCCAUUGCACUUAGGAGGGGUGCUGUACUAAGGUCUGUUCAAGAGACAGAGCCUAUGUCAUAAUUUGUGGCAGAGGGAGCCUGUGUUCGCGCGGCCCCUAC
Glycine soja is the source of this 161-nucleotide non-coding RNA. NCBI's taxonomy places the organism in Eukaryota, Viridiplantae, Streptophyta, Magnoliopsida, Fabales, Fabaceae. The record is from Rfam.